GGGCUCGUGGCUCAGCUAGGUAGAGCAGCAGGCUCUUAACCUGUCGGUCAGGGGUUCGAAUCCCCUCGAGCCCG
This 74-nucleotide transfer RNA is filed under the name Thermoplasmata archaeon. RNAcentral's name for it is "tRNA-Lys". It matches the Rfam family "tRNA". Rfam says of the family: Transfer RNA (tRNA) molecules are approximately 80 nucleotides in length. Their secondary structure includes four short double-helical elements and three loops (D, anti-codon, and T loops). Further hydrogen bonds mediate the characteristic L-shaped molecular structure. tRNAs have two regions of fundamental functional importance: the anti-codon, which is responsible for specific mRNA codon recognition, and the 3' end, to which the tRNAs corresponding amino acid is attached (by aminoacyl-tRNA synthetases). tRNAs cope with the degeneracy of the genetic code in two manners: having more than one tRNA (with a specific anti-codon) for a particular amino acid; and 'wobble' base-pairing, i.e. permitting non-standard base-pairing at the 3rd anti-codon position. Lineage: Archaea; Methanobacteriati; Thermoplasmatota; Thermoplasmata. RNAcentral also lists the same sequence under 3 other names. The record is from RNAcentral.